RNAcentral lists this ribosomal RNA (468 nucleotides) under uncultured bacterium. Its description in RNAcentral is "partial 16S ribosomal RNA". It matches the Rfam family "Bacterial small subunit ribosomal RNA", at positions 28 to 507 of the family's 1533-position model. The record is from RNAcentral.
GAUGAACGCUGGCGGCGUGCUUAACACAUGCAAGUCGAACGGGAAGGCCCAAGCUUGCUUGGGUACUCGAGUGGCGAACGGGUGAGUAACACGUGGGUGAUCUGCCCUGCACUUCGGGAUAAGCCGGGGAAACUGGGUCUAAUACCGGAUAGGACGAUGUUUUGGAUGCCAUUGUGGAAAGUUUUUUCGGUGUGGGAUGAGCUCGCGGCCUAUCAGCUUGUUGGUGGGGUAAUGGCCUACCAAGGCGUCGACGGGUAGCCGGCCUGGGAGGGUGUACGGCCACAUUGGGACUGAGAUACGGCCCAGACUCCUACGGGAGGCAGCAGUGGGGAAUAUUGCACAAUGGGCGCAAGCCUGAUGCAGCGACGCCGCGUGGGGGAUGACGGCCUUCGGGUUGUAAACUCCUUUCGCUAGGGACGAAGCGUUUUUGUGACGGUACCUGGAGAAGAAGCACCGGCUAACUACGUG